GAUGAACGCUGGCGGCGUGCCUAAUACAUGCAAGUCGAGCGAACGGACGAGAAGCUUGCUUCUCUGAUGUUAGCGGCGGACGGGUGAGUAACACGUGGAUAACCUACCUAUAAGACUGGGAUAACUUCGGGAAACCGGAGCUAAUACCGGAUAAUAUUUUGAACCGCAUGGUUCAAAAGUGAAAGACGGUCUUGCUGUCACUUAUAGAUGGAUCCGCGCUGCAUUAGCUAGUUGGUAAGGUAACGGCUUACCAAGGCAACGAUGCAUAGCCGACCUGAGAGGGUGAUCGGCCGCACUGGAACUGAGACACGGUCCAGACUCCUACGGGAGGCAGCAGUAGGGAAUCUUCCGCAAUGGGCGAAAGCCUGACGGAGCAACGCCGCGUGAGUGAUGAAGGUCUUCGGAUCGUAAAACUCUGUUAUUAGGGAAGAACAUAUGUGUAAGUAACUGUGCACAUCUCGACGGUACCUAAUCAGAAAGCCACGGCUAACUACGUG
This 497-nucleotide ribosomal RNA is filed under the name uncultured bacterium. RNAcentral's name for it is "partial 16S ribosomal RNA". It matches the Rfam family "Bacterial small subunit ribosomal RNA", at positions 28 to 507 of the family's 1533-position model. The record is from RNAcentral.